UCUGCCAGGUCCGACCGGCGAACCCCCGCCACUUUCGUCUAGAACCACUCCUGAGAUCCUAGCUCGACGACUCCCUCGCCAUUUGUCCGCUCUGCCCUCGGCGGUCCUAAAGGGGCGUCGCGACGCCUGCAGCCUGUGCGGUUACCCGAGCGACGCCUACCCCACUCCCCCCCCCCCCAUGACACCUGGUCGCCAUGGAGGCACCCAUACGCCGCCCGCCGCUGCAGUCUGCCGGCACCCGGCCAAUCACUCGCGGAGGUCGAACUGAUUGGAUUACACCACAUCGUGAAAACAUCCAGUGAAAUAAAACAUUGAAAAUACUUACAGAAA
Molecule: long non-coding RNA, 330 nt
Organism: Bacillus rossius redtenbacheri
Lineage: Eukaryota; Metazoa; Arthropoda; Insecta; Phasmatodea; Bacillidae
Exons: 2
Source: RefSeq, a predicted model, not a curated record